GAUGAACGCUAGCGGCAGGCUUAACACAUGCAAGUCGAGGGGUAUAGUAGCAAUACUAGAGACCGGCGCACGGGUGCGUAACGCGUAUGCAACCUACCUUGAACAGGGGAAUAGCCCAGAGAAAUUUGGAUUAAUGCCCCAUAGCGUAUUGAGUUGGCAUCAGCACAAUACUAAAGUCACAACGGUUCAAGAUGGGCAUGCGUCCCAUUAGUUAGUUGGUAAGGUAACGGCUUACCAAGACGAUGAUGGGUAGGGGUCCUGAGAGGGAGAUCCCCCACACUGGUACUGAGACACGGACCAGACUCCUACGGGAGGCAGCAGUGAGGAAUAUUGGUCAAUGGGCGCAAGCCUGAACCAGCCAUGCCGCGUGCAGGAUGAAGCAUCUAUGGUGUGUAAACUGCUUUUGUACGGGAAGAAACACCGGAACGCGUUCCGGCUUGACGGUACCGUAAGAAUAAGGAUCGGCUAACUCCGUG
RNAcentral lists this ribosomal RNA (476 nucleotides) under uncultured bacterium. RNAcentral describes it as "bacterial SSU rRNA". It matches the Rfam family "Bacterial small subunit ribosomal RNA", at positions 28 to 507 of the family's 1533-position model. The record is from RNAcentral.